ACUUCCUUGUCAAAGCCUGAUCUUGUCAGAUCUUAGAAGCUAAGCAGAGCUGGGCCUGGUUAGUAGUUUGAUGGGAGACCACAGGUGCACAGUGGGGU
This 98-nucleotide ribosomal RNA is filed under the name Periophthalmus magnuspinnatus. The record is from RNAcentral. Lineage: Eukaryota; Metazoa; Chordata; Actinopteri; Gobiiformes; Gobiidae.